GGAAGAGAUGUAUUUAUUAGAUAAAAAAUCAAUGUCUUCGGACUCUUUGAUGAUUCAUAAUAACUUUUCGAAUCGCAUGGCCUUGUGCUGGCGAUGGUUCAUUCAAAUUUCUGCCCUAUUUACUUUCGAUGGUAGGAUAGUGGCCUACCAUGGUUUCAACGGGUAACGGGGAAUAAGGGUUCGAUUCCGGAGAGGGAGCCUGAGAAACGGCUACCACAUCCAAGGAAGGCAGCAGGCGCGCAAAUUACGGAAUCCUAAUUCAGGGAGGUAGUGACAAUAAAUAACGAUACAGGGCCCAUUCGGGUCUUGUAAUUGGAAUGUAUACAAUGUAAAUACCUUAACGAGGAACAAUUGGAGGGCAAGUCUGGUGCCAGCAGCCGCGGUAAUUCCAGCUCCAAUAGCGUAUAUUAAAGUUGUUGCAGUUAAAAAGCUCGUAGUUGAACUUUGGGCCCGGUUGGCCGGUCCGAUUUUUUCGUGUACUGGAUUUCCAACGGGGCCUUUCCUUCUGGCUAACCUUGAGUCCUUGUGGCUCUUGGCGAACCAGGACUUUUAC
RNAcentral lists this ribosomal RNA (553 nucleotides) under uncultured Saccharomyces. RNAcentral's name for it is "SSU rRNA". It matches the Rfam family "Eukaryotic small subunit ribosomal RNA", at positions 194 to 755 of the family's 1831-position model. The record is from RNAcentral. Lineage: Eukaryota; Fungi; Ascomycota; Saccharomycetes; Saccharomycetales; Saccharomycetaceae.